RNAcentral lists this ribosomal RNA (548 nucleotides) under Thermococcales archaeon Tc85-7C-I. RNAcentral describes it as "bacterial SSU rRNA". It matches the Rfam family "Archaeal small subunit ribosomal RNA", at positions 95 to 640 of the family's 1478-position model. The record is from RNAcentral. Lineage: Archaea; Methanobacteriati; Methanobacteriota; Thermococci; Thermococcales.
AACACGUCGGUAACCUACCCUCGGGAGGGGGAUAACCCCGGGAAACUGGGGCUAAUCCCCCAUAGGCCUGAGGUACUGGAAGGUCCUCAGGCCGAAAGGGGCAUCUGCCCGCCCGAGGAUGGGCCGGCGGCCGAUUAGGUAGUUGGUGGGGUAACGGCCCACCAAGCCGAAGAUCGGUACGGGCCAUGAGAGUGGGAGCCCGGAGAUGGACACUGAGACACGGGUCCAGGCCCUACGGGGCGCAGCAGGCGCGAAACCUCCGCAAUGCGGGCAACCGCGACGGGGGGACCCCCAGUGCCGUGGCAUCGCCACGGCUUUUCCGGAGUGUAAAAAGCUCCGGGAAUAAGGGCUGGGCAAGGCCGGUGGCAGCCGCCGCGGUAAUACCGGCGGCCCGAGUGGUGGCCGCUAUUAUUGGGCCUAAAGCGUCCGUAGCCGGGCCCGUAAGUCCCUGGCGAAAUCCCACGGCUCAACCGUGGGGCUUGCUGGGGAUACUGCGGGCCUUGGGACCGGGAGAGGCCGGGGGUACCCCUGGGGUAGGGGUGAAAUCC